RNAcentral lists this ribosomal RNA (486 nucleotides) under uncultured bacterium. Its description in RNAcentral is "partial 16S ribosomal RNA". It matches the Rfam family "Bacterial small subunit ribosomal RNA", at positions 30 to 507 of the family's 1533-position model. The record is from RNAcentral.
AUUGAACGCUGGCGGCAUGCCUUACACAUGCAAGUCGAACGGCAGCACGGGUGCUUGCACCUGGUGGCGAGUGGCGAACGGGUGAGUAAUACAUCGGAACAUGUCCUGUAGUGGGGGAUAGCCCGGCGAAAGCCGGAUUAAUACCGCAUACGAUCUACGGAUGAAAGCGGGGGACCUUCGGGCCUCGCGCUAUAGGGUUGGCCGAUGGCUGAUUAGCUAGUUGGUGGGGUAAAGGCCUACCAAGGCGACGAUCAGUAGCUGGGCUGAGAGGACGACCAGCCACACUGGGACUGAGACACGGCCCAGACUCCUACGGGAGGCAGCAGUGGGGAAUUUUGGACAAUGGGCGAAAGCCUGAUCCAGCAAUGCCGCGUGUGUGAAGAAGGCCUUCGGGUUGUAAAGCACUUUUGUCCGGAAAGAAAUCCUUGGCCCUAAUACGGUCGGGGGAUGACGGUACCGGAAGAAUAAGCACCGGCUAACUACGUG